RNAcentral lists this ribosomal RNA (388 nucleotides) under uncultured eukaryote. Its description in RNAcentral is "partial 18S ribosomal RNA". It matches the Rfam family "Eukaryotic small subunit ribosomal RNA", at positions 592 to 976 of the family's 1831-position model. The record is from RNAcentral.
CAAUAGCGUAUAUUAAAGUUGUUGCAGUUAAAAAGCUCGUAGUUGGAUUUCUGAUCGAGACAUCAGGUCGGGUCCGAGAGGAUCAUGUACUUUGAUUUUGUUUUGAUCAUCCUUGGGGAGAGCAUUUCUGGCAUUCAGUUGUCGGGAUUGGGAUCCUCAUCGUUUACUGUGAAAAAAUUAGAGUGUUCAAAGCAGGCCUCGGCUUCUGAAUACAUUAGCAUGGAAUAAUAAGAUAGGACUUUGGUGGUCUAUUUUGUUGGUUUGCACGCCAAAGUAAUGAUUAAUAGGGAUAGUUGGGGGUAUUCGUAUUCAAUUGUCAGAGGUGAAAUUCUUGGAUUUAUGGAAGACGAACUACUGCGAAAGCAUUUACCAAGGAUGUUUUCAUUAA